Homo sapiens (human) is the source of this 437-nucleotide long non-coding RNA. RefSeq lists it as uncharacterized. The record is from RefSeq and is a predicted model, not a curated record. NCBI's taxonomy places the organism in Eukaryota, Metazoa, Chordata, Mammalia, Primates, Hominidae. The transcript is spliced from 4 exons.
GCGUGAGCUACGCAGAAGACGGGUGAUUUCUGCAUUUCCAUCUGAGAGGACAGGUGACCGCAAAGCAGAAGUGAUGAAGAGCCAGUCACCAUGGCCACAUCUUGAGGUCACACAGUCAGCAGUUCGCUUUGCUCACUCAGUCCUAUAAAAACAGCAAGGUGGCCAGUGGGCUAGUGUGAAAUAAUUAAGAGGACAAUUCAUAGAAAAUGGAAAUGGAAAGACAGCAGGAGGGCAGACCAAACAGUAUCUCCUGGACCCGUUAAAGGCUUUGGAUUUUACACUGGAGAAAUGGAAAGCCUGCGACUAACUGAAAAAGUUACACAGCUGACACUGCUGCUUAAAGAAACCAGAUGGCGCCAGAGCUUCUUGACCCCUGACCAGAUGCCAGAGGAAGAUAAGACACCAUAAAACCAGCGCAAAUGGGAACUGGCAAACCC